GGUUGCUUUAGCUGGAGGGAUUCCUGGCAGAGUGAUUUGGUUGUGAUGUAAUGAAAAUCACAUUGCCAGGGAUUUCCAACCAGCUAUAGCAGACAC
This is a microRNA precursor of Poecilia formosa (Amazon molly), 96 nucleotides long. Lineage: Eukaryota; Metazoa; Chordata; Actinopteri; Cyprinodontiformes; Poeciliidae. The record is from Ensembl.